AUUGAACGCUGGCGGCAUGCCUUACACAUGCAAGUCGAACGGCAGCGGACCUUCGGGUGCCGGCGAGUGGCGAACGGGUGAGUAAUAUAUCGGAACGUACCUUUCAGUGGGGGAUAACGUAGCGAAAGUUACGCUAAUACCGCAUAUUCUGUGAGCAGGAAAGCAGGGGAUCGCAAGACCUUGCGCUGAUUGAGCGGCCGAUAUCAGAUUAGCUAGUUGGUGAGGUAAAGGCUCACCAAGGCGACGAUCUGUAGCGGGUCUGAGAGGAUGAUCCGCCACACUGGAACUGAGACACGGUCCAAACUCCUACGGGAGGCAGCAGUGGGGAAUUUUGGACAAUGGGCGCAAGCCUGAUCCAGCCAUGCCGCGUGAGUGAAGAAGGCCUCGGUUGU
This 392-nucleotide ribosomal RNA is filed under the name uncultured bacterium. RNAcentral's name for it is "bacterial SSU rRNA". It matches the Rfam family "Bacterial small subunit ribosomal RNA", at positions 30 to 426 of the family's 1533-position model. The record is from RNAcentral.